RNAcentral lists this ribosomal RNA (392 nucleotides) under uncultured bacterium. Its description in RNAcentral is "bacterial SSU rRNA". It matches the Rfam family "Bacterial small subunit ribosomal RNA", at positions 32 to 415 of the family's 1533-position model. The record is from RNAcentral.
AAUCAACGCUGGCGGCGUGCCUCAGACAUGCAAGUCGAACGAUUAAAGCUCUCUUCGGAGAGUGUAUAGAGUGGCGCACGGGUGAGUAACACGUAAGUAGUCUACCCUCGAGUGGGGAAUAACGUCCGGAAACGGACGCUAAUACCGCAUAAUGCAGCGGCACCGCAAGGUGACAGUUGUUAAAGGAGAAAUUCGCUUGAGGAGGAGCUUGCGGCAGAUUAGCUUGUUGGUAAGGUAACGGCUUACCAAGGCUACGAUCUGUAACCGGUCUUAGAGGACGGUCGGUCACACUGACACUGAAUAACGGGUCAGACUCCUACGGGAGGCAGCAGUCGGGAAUUUUGGCAAUGGGCGAAAGCCUGACCCAGCAACGCCGCGUGAAGGAUGAAGUA